AUGCACGCUGGCGGCGUGCCUAAUACAUGCAAGUCGCGCGAACAGACGAGGAGCUUGCUCCUCUGACGUUAGCGGCGGCCGGGUGAGUAACACGUGGAUAACCUACCUAUAAGACUGGGAUAACUUCGGGAAACCGGAGCUAAUACCGGAUAAUAUAUUGAACCGCAUGGUUCAAUAGUGAAAGACGGUUUUGCUGUCACUUAUAGAUGGAUCCGCGCCGCAUUAGCUAGUUGGUAAGGUAACGGCUUACCAAGGCAACGAUGCGUAGCCGACCUGAGAGGGUGAUCGGCCACACUGGAACUGAGACACGGUCCAGACUCCUACGGGAGGCAGCAGUAGGGAAUCUUCCGCAAUGGGCGAAAGCCUGACGGAGCAACGCCGCGUGAGUGAUGAAGGUCUUCGGAUCGUAAAACUCUGUUAUUAGGGAAGAACAAAUGUGUAAGUAACUAUGCACGUCUUGACGGUACCUAAUCAGAAAGCCACGGCUAACUACGUG
RNAcentral lists this ribosomal RNA (496 nucleotides) under uncultured bacterium. RNAcentral describes it as "partial 16S ribosomal RNA". It matches the Rfam family "Bacterial small subunit ribosomal RNA", at positions 29 to 507 of the family's 1533-position model. The record is from RNAcentral.